AAAAUUAUAAGAUGUUGAAAAUAAACUGAAGGAAUGUUGCACGAUAAUAGUUAUAUUUAUAGUAUGUGUUGACAAUGAAAAUAUAUAGUGACAAAAAGCAACUAUGAAUUCAGUAACACUGUUUACCUGACUUUGUAUUUUAUUAGUCACAAAACACACAUAUAUAUUUUUUAAAAUAGGAAUACUUUGUGAGCAAACUAUAUUAUUCAUUUAGUUAACAGAUAAUACUAGAUGCACCUGAGAAUUUAGUUGCAGUUUCUCUGAAGCUUCUGGUAUCAAACCUAACUGUGGUCUGUUCACCCGGCGCAGGAAGACCAGAUAUCCACACUGAGGUUUGCCGCAGGAGAAAGGCAAGUGUUUAUUUGCAGAGUGCCAAGCAAUGAGAAUCAGGCAGUUCAUGCUUAAGACUCAGACUUCCAGAGGGCUUACUGUAAGAUUCUCCCAGGGCCUGAAAGCUUAAGAUGAGUAACUCCUCCCUUCUCAGGCCCAGUCCCAAGGCGCAACUUGCGCCAGCAGCUGCGCCAGCAAGAUAGCAGAAGCAGGAAGAGAGCAGGCGGAAGACACCUACCCUGGCCGGAAGACACGAAGAUCGAGAAAAAGGCCAUCCGGGUACCACGUAGCAGUUACAUUGGACUAUGACACUGCCUGUUUACAGGAGACUGUAAGACCUUUGCCCCGUCCUCACUUGGGGCCGGCCUGCACCCAGGCCCUCAUUAGAACAGCAUGUUGCUCCACACGGCCUCGUGUUGUCUGUUGGCUGCUCUCAGGGUCGAAAUGAUACAAGAACCUUACACUUACAGUGUGGCCCAGGGAAGCCAAUGUGGAUACCCCUGAUUUAGAUGAUAGUCCGCUUCUGCCACUUCGUUGAGCUUCAUUUAUCUGAUCUGCCACAUGCAAAGGUUAGGGGACAUCCUCUUCAGCUGCAAUGUAGUCUUCUGGGAUCUAAUUAUGAUGUCUCUUGGAAUCUGGCCCACAUACAAGAAUUCAAGCUGGUUUUCCAGGGUGGAGACCAUGAAGAAAUCCCAAUCGGAUUCACUGGAAUUCAUUUAUUUGGCUAAUGAGAGACACCAGUAAGAAACUGAGGGCAAGAUGAAAAAGAAGUCCAGGAGGUUUACCCCAGUUCUCCCGACUUUACAGCAUUCUGGCAACAGAUGACCCUACUAUUCAGUAGCAUGACCUAUAAAAACAAACGAAAAGAAUGUGGAACAUAAAACUAAAGAAAAAUGUUGAUAGAAGUUCUCCAGAGAAAGGAAAGUUAAAAGAUCUAACUUCUAUGUGGUUACAAAGGGCAUAAUCAAGACCAUUGGCUAGAUGCUAUAGGAGGUGGCUGGGUACUGUGAAGAAGAUGCCUGUGAUGAUAUGCGGUUGAACAUUGUUUUCACAUUUAAUGAAGUAAUGGCUAGUGGACUGGGUCACCUGACGGUACCAGUCAACCUACAGGCUCAAACUGAUUUGUACUUUGGAGGGAAGGAGAAGUGGCUUUGGAAACUGCAACCUUUUCUAAAUCAAGAUUAUGCUCCGAGACACUGAAUCUGAAAAGAUGCAUCCAGUUUUGCCAAGUGGUUUCACUACCAAGGCCAGUCUCCACCUAUGACAGACCCAAGGAAGAUCAUUUACAACUAGAAUCUAGUCAUUUAGGAGCCUGUGUGCUCCCUGGGUGGGCCGUCUGCACUGGUGUGAGGUUUAUCUCUUUGAAGGGAAAACCAAAGGAAUCUUCUUGAAUAUCAGCACCAGGAAGAGCAGUACAAACUGGAGAAGUUGGGGUAUGUAGGCAGUGGCUUCAACCCAUGCAUUAUAUGUAUUCAAUUACUCAGAAGACCCUGUACUCCACUUAUUUUGGUUGAAUAAGCAGACUGUAAAACCAACAAAAAAUGGAAAUUGCUUUUAGAUCGCUAGUGUAUGGGCUUAUUCAUGUCAUACCUCUCAUCCUUCAGAACCAAUUAUCUAGUGUUGAUUAUACCACUAUGUGUCAACAUUAUUAAAUUUAAAAUGGUUGUAGCUGGGCAUGGUGGCUUGCACUUGUCAUCGUAGUUACUUGGAAGGCUGAGCC
Non-coding RNA from Macaca mulatta (Rhesus monkey), 2050 nucleotides. Lineage: Eukaryota; Metazoa; Chordata; Mammalia; Primates; Cercopithecidae. The record is from RefSeq and is a predicted model, not a curated record.